UAUACGAAUAUAUGCAUGAGAUGAUUUUAACUGUUAAUUUCAGUUUAUUAUUAUGCCCUUUAUGAAAAUGAAAAUGUUUAUGAAAUGAGAUGGAAUGUUUAUGAAAUGAUUGACUGCCAAAAAUGUUUAUGUUUUUAUAUGUAUCCUAUCUGUGUUGGUUCGCCAACUUUAAAGGAAAUCCAAUUGGGAUCCUAUGCUAGACAAAGGUCGCUAGCUAGGGUUAACGUGUACACUCAUGGAGACCGCGAGUCGCUUGCGACCGGUCUUGGCGUCCGUGGUAAGGAGGCCUCCUUCCCGGCGCGUGACAGAAAGGACAGAUAUGGAUCAUAUAGACUGAAAAUGGGAUGCAUCCACCUUUAUGAAAAUGAAAGAAAUGUUUUAAGUAAGCGCAGGUUGAGCAGGCGAUGGAAUGGUUUGGUGUUGAGCGGGAAUUCUUUUGAUGGAUAUGUAAUGAAACCUUGAGUAUGCAUCUCCAUAUGCAUAACUCACACGUUUUUCCGCUGCAAACACUCUGAAUUUGUUAUCGUAUUGUGGAACUUAUUACUCCUUCUUUUUGUUUAACUUUCACUUGGGUCUAGUCGUUAUGGCAUAAUCGUUUG
Molecule: long non-coding RNA, 599 nt
Organism: Salvia miltiorrhiza (redroot sage)
Lineage: Eukaryota; Viridiplantae; Streptophyta; Magnoliopsida; Lamiales; Lamiaceae
Exons: 2
Source: RefSeq, a predicted model, not a curated record